Callorhinchus milii (elephant shark) is the source of this 585-nucleotide long non-coding RNA. RefSeq lists it as uncharacterized. The record is from RefSeq and is a predicted model, not a curated record. NCBI's taxonomy places the organism in Eukaryota, Metazoa, Chordata, Chondrichthyes, Chimaeriformes, Callorhinchidae. The transcript is spliced from 4 exons.
UAGCUUUACACACCAGGCCACUGGAAGAAUGUUUUGGACCAUCCAGCAUUUAGAAACUGAAUUAUUUGAAGCACUGCUGAAGGUGCUAAGUUUGAUCUCUGGUCUGGGAGAGAGACAAUCCUGAAGCUAUUAUCUGAGUUGCACCGAAGAGGCUUGAAUUGCUGCGUAGUGGCAUAGUGACAGUUCUCACUCCCCAUUUCCAAUCACCCUCCAGGAGGGCCAGUGUAAUUCAAGCCCUGAUGGCGUUGUUCCAAGGUGAAGAGUGAUAGGUGCUCCAGAGAACACCUCAACAGCGAACAAGGCUGACAGAAAUUCAAUGCAACAUGGACAGCUGUAAAGGCAGAGAUCUGAACAGUCCUGGACACCUUUUAUGUUGGAGAUGAUGUGGCUGCUCACCUCCAUGCAUUUGAAAGAGACAUAACAAAAAGAAUCAAAGCCAUUCUGGAGCCGCAGUUGAAGGGAAAUCCUUGAUACAAAAAAAGCAAGACAGCAAGUAUAUUGCUCUUGUACCAUUUGAUCCGAUUUAAUGAAAUGAUACCUUUAUUUUCACUAAAACAUGCAUUGUAGCUACUGAAGACAAACUAA